RNAcentral lists this ribosomal RNA (112 nucleotides) under Otolemur garnettii (small-eared galago). Lineage: Eukaryota; Metazoa; Chordata; Mammalia; Primates; Galagidae. The record is from RNAcentral.
GUCUAUGGCCAUACCAGCCACCCUGAACGCCUCUGAUCUCGGAAGCUAAGCAGGGUUGGGUGUGGUUAGUACUUGGAUGGGAGAAAGGUUAAAAGACACAAAGUUUAGGAUA